This is a long non-coding RNA of Danaus plexippus (monarch butterfly), 755 nucleotides long. RefSeq lists it as uncharacterized. NCBI's taxonomy places the organism in Eukaryota, Metazoa, Arthropoda, Insecta, Lepidoptera, Nymphalidae. The transcript has 3 exons. The record is from RefSeq and is a predicted model, not a curated record.
CUCCGAGUCUUCGGGCGCUAGGGUCGUGCGUUCACCGUCCACAUCCUACAACAAAUAAUUUACAUUGUAGGUUCUUUAAACAGCACGGCAGCAAGUACUUUGAACAGACCCUCGCACAUGUGUGGCGGGACCUGUAGUACAGUGAGUGCAAGCUGCAGCGCCUCCAGCUUCCCCUGUUCGCCGACUCGACCGCGGCGGGCCUCUUCAUCUUCUGGCCUCAAGUACUUGAACUGGACGUCGUCUCGGAGACGCAAUGUGUUGCGGAGUUCUGCGUUGUGCUGGACAAAUUUUAUACAGUGAACGAUUUUUUAUGUUUGCCUGCUCGAGUUUUACUAUAUCAAUAUCAAAAUAAUGUAUAAGGUAAUAACUGCAGUUCCCAUAAGUUCAAUUUAUGCAUAUGCUUCCUUGAAAAAUGUUUCACUAUCUAUCAACUAACCUUGGCACCUUCGACGAGUUGAUAGAACACAUGGUAGUUGGUCUCUCUGGGAGCCGGUCCCGUGAUCCUAGCUCGUUCCAGCAGAAAGUCUCUGAGGACUGCGCCCCUGAUGCCGCCCCGAUGAUCAAGCCUUACCUCAACAAACUUCCCAAACCGGGACGAAUUGUCGUUCCGCACGGUCUUAGCAUUACCUACUCACCAAAAGCCUCUAAUACAGUGUUAGCUUCGAGAAUCUGUUGUUCAGCCCAUGAUGCCUGCCCCCCCGCCGCGCACAGGUACUGCAAGAUCAGCUUUGUGGUCUCCGUCUUACCAGCACCGC